RNAcentral lists this long non-coding RNA (394 nucleotides) under Numida meleagris (helmeted guineafowl). Its description in RNAcentral is "lncRNA (ENSNMEG00000018329.1)". The record is from RNAcentral. Lineage: Eukaryota; Metazoa; Chordata; Aves; Galliformes; Numididae.
AUGAUAGAGCCUUGUAGUGACUCAUAUGUGGCUGCAGGUGCAACUGAAAAACAAGACCGUGGGUAUAAAUUCAGCCAAUGCUGCUCAGAAAUUUGCCUAUGUUUUCUUACUGCAAAGCUCUGUCAUGUUUGCUAUAAGGAAAGUUGCAAGUACAAUAACCUACAGAUGACAGUCAGGAAGGAUUUGCAGAUACACUGAUGUUAAGGAGCUGACUGAGAUACCGAAGAAUGAUGAGAUACGGCAGCGCAGGAUCAAAAGGAGAGGAAGACAGGUCUCUGUGCAGUAUGGGAAUGACAGCACAGGAAGAAAAAUAUUACAGGCCCUACCACCCCAAUUCUCUCAUUAACUGCAUAAGGGAGGACAGCACAGAAUAAAACGUUCCUUGUCCCACCCA